This is a non-coding RNA of Nicotiana tabacum (common tobacco), 1909 nucleotides long. The record is from RefSeq and is a predicted model, not a curated record. Lineage: Eukaryota; Viridiplantae; Streptophyta; Magnoliopsida; Solanales; Solanaceae.
UUCUCCCUCAAAAACAAAAUAGAUCUGCCAGUUGUCUCUUCACUGCCAGAAUUCGGCAAGAGAAACCGGCGACCUCAUCCUCUCCAAAAACCCAACGAGCUCCCCUCUUCUUCUCCCGUGCUGGUCACAGAAAAAUUCCAAAACCCUAGGAAAACGAUAUGGGUUUGGCAGCGGUUGGAGAAGACAAGAGCAGCAGCCGCAUCCCCUUGUUGCAGAGAACUGCAAUUAAAUGAAAUCUACCAUUAAUGGGUCUUUAAAAAACUUGAGGGUUUAAAAUGGGUUAGUUGAUUUGAUGAAAGUUUGGGAAAUUAAUAUUGGGGUUGUCUUCGGGUCGUCGUGGGGAAUGUUUAGCUGAAGUUAUAACAAAUUUGGUGGAGUUUCUCUUAAAAAUUUGGAUUAAAAUUGUGCUUGGAACAAGAACACACAUGAAAAUUAUGAAGAACACCAAGACCACUAAUUAUUUUGUUUAUUAAAUAGAUUUAACAUAGUUUUUUUCUUUUUUUUUUACUAGGGAAUGCAUUGCACAAACUUUGUAAGUUUGGCUGAUUGUCAAAUAAAUGCUCAAUUGGAAUAAGUUUUGGGUAGUAUAAGUGCUCAAUAGGAACUCUCUUAAGUUCAGGUGUCUAAAUGAAAGAUCGUGCCAACUUUAAGUGUCUUCGUAUGUAUUCCGCCAAACCAUUAUAAACAAUUUCAUACCAAAAUUGAGGACCUCCUAAUUUCAUAGUAGGAUUUAACAAGACAGCAACACCAUAAACAGAGGGAAUAGGGAAAAAAUAUUUUUUAAACUUUUUUCUCUUAUAAUCAAUAGCUGCAUGGAAUUGACGGACGGUGUAAUGGAAAAGGUGUUAUCUGGUUGCCCUAACCUGGAGUGCUUGGAUCUAUGUGAAGUUUGGGGCAUUGAUCAUUUGAAAAUCAGCUCUAUGAAGCUGAGAAAAUUGAUUGUACAACGAUAUCACAAGUACGGAUUUUUACAGUGGAAUGUCAAAAUAAGCAAUGAGAGUAAUUAUCUUUGGCUCGAAACAUUAGAAGCUUCGUAUACUCAAAAUUUGCAACUUGUUUCUUUGGUGAGAUACACUUGCAGCAGAGAAAUGUGCCUUCACUUGUCAGUGCAAUCCUUCAUAUACAUGUUGAUUGUGAAUAUGAAGACUACAACUUGGAGAAGGAGUACAGCAAUUUGAAGGAACUUCUUCAAACUGUUGCCCAUGUCGAGAAUCUUGAAUUGAGUCCCUGGUUCAUCCAGUAUGUGUAUAAGAACGAUAAACGGUGCAAGAGGUUUGAGAUACAUGAUUUUAACUGCUCCUUAGUACAUUUGAAGACCAUCAAGUUCAUUAACAUGGUUGGACCAUUGAGUGAAAAUAAGUUCGUACUACCAUUGAUAAAGUAUUUGCUUGAAAAUGCAAUAGUGCUAGAAAAGUUAUCAUUGCUGGCAGAUGCAAAGGGAGUCAUGUGCCUCGGAAUUAUGUUAAAAUGGAACAGAAACUCCUGAGCGUUCCGAGAUCCUCUCCUCAUGUUUCGGUUCUCUUUUCUUAUGGCCCCUCUUUGUAUUCAUCGCAACAUACUUAACAGCAGUAACUUUAUGUUUGAAACUGGUUGUGUAGCUGAUAAACAAGGUUAGGAUUGUACUUUUCAAUGUGCACUAAGUUUCUUCUAUGUGCGGGGUCCGGGGAAGGCCGGACCACAAGGGUCUUUUGUACGCAGUCUUAUCCUGCAUUUUUGCAAGAGGUUGUUUUCACGGCUCGAACUUGUGACCUACUGGUCACAUGACAGCAACUUCACCAACAACUUCACCAGUUAUGCAAAGGCUCCUUUCUGAUUGCCAUGCGGAAAGCUUGCUCUAAAUAUUUUGUUAUUACUAUUCAUAUUGCUGAGUUGAUCGUUUUUAUGCUAUGAAAUUUAAUUGGUGGAUAAA